RNAcentral lists this ribosomal RNA (521 nucleotides) under uncultured bacterium. RNAcentral's name for it is "partial 16S ribosomal RNA". It matches the Rfam family "Bacterial small subunit ribosomal RNA", at positions 355 to 868 of the family's 1533-position model. The record is from RNAcentral.
UGGGGAAUUUUGGACAAUGGGCGCAAGCCUGAUCCAGCCAUGCCGCGUGCGGGAAGAAGGCCUUCGGGUUGUAAACCGCUUUUGUCAGGGAAGAAAUCUUCUGAGUUAAUACCUCGGGAGGAUGACGGUACCUGAAGAAUAAGCACCGGCUAACUACGUGCCAGCAGCCGCGGUAAUACGUGGGGUGCAAGCGUUAAUCGGAAUUACUGGGCGUAAAGCGUGCGCAGGCGGUUUUGUAAGACAGAGGUGAAAUCCCCGGGCUCAACCUGGGAACUGCCUUUGUGACUGCAAGGCUUGAGUGCGGCAGAGGGGGAUGGAAUUCCGCGUGUAGCAGUGAAAUGCGUAGAUAUGCGGAGGAACACCGAUGGCGAAGGCAAUCCCCUGGGCCUGCACUGACGCUCAUGCACGAAAGCGUGGGGAGCAAACAGGAUUAGAUAGCCCUGGUAGUCCACGCCCUAAACGAUGUCAACUGGUUGUUGGGAAGGUUCCUUCUCAGUAACGUAGCUAACGCGUGAAGUUGA